RNAcentral lists this transfer RNA (73 nucleotides) under Callipepla squamata (scaled quail). It matches the Rfam family "tRNA". From Rfam's summary of the family: Transfer RNA (tRNA) molecules are approximately 80 nucleotides in length. Their secondary structure includes four short double-helical elements and three loops (D, anti-codon, and T loops). Lineage: Eukaryota; Metazoa; Chordata; Aves; Galliformes; Odontophoridae. The record is from Rfam by way of RNAcentral.
GCCUGGAUAGCUCAGCCGGGAGAGCGUCGGACUUUUAAUCCGAGGCUGCGGGGUUCGAGGCCGUGCUCGGGCG